RNAcentral lists this ribosomal RNA (497 nucleotides) under uncultured bacterium. RNAcentral describes it as "partial 16S ribosomal RNA". It matches the Rfam family "Bacterial small subunit ribosomal RNA", at positions 28 to 507 of the family's 1533-position model. The record is from RNAcentral.
GAUGAACGCUGGCGGCGUGCCUAAUACAUGCAAGUCGAGCGAACGGACGAGAAGCUUGCUUCUCUGAUGUUAGCGGCGGACGGGUGAGUAACACGUGGAUAACCUACCUAUAAGACUGGGAUAACUUCGGGAAACCGUAGCUAAUACCGGAUAAUAUUUUGAUCCGCAUGGUUCAAAAGUGAGAGACGGUCUUGCUGUCACUUAUAGAUGGAUCCGCGCUGCAUUAGCUAGUUGGUAAGGUAACGGCUUAUCAAGGGGACGAUGCAUAGCCGACGUGAGAGGGUGGUCGCCCACACUGGAGCGGGACCACGCUCCAGACUCCUGCGGGAGGCAGCAGUAGCGAAUCUUACGCAGUGGGCGAGAGCCUUGCGGAGCGACGCCACGUGAGUUAUGAAGGUCUUCGGAUCGUAAUACUCUGUUAUUAGGGGAAAACAUAUGUGUAAGGAACUGUGCACAGCUUGACGGUACCUGAUCAGAAAGCCCCGGCUAACUACGUG